This is a small nucleolar RNA of Octodon degus (degu), 137 nucleotides long. The record is from Ensembl. Lineage: Eukaryota; Metazoa; Chordata; Mammalia; Rodentia; Octodontidae.
UUGGCUCCAAAUCAAGGCCGGAAGUUUUCAAAAGCAGUUGGUUUCAAGAGGGAGCCUAAAGUGAUACUUUUCUGUGGUCUGCUGGCCUUUUCAGAACUUUAUAAAUGUGAUGGUCAAUUCAUUAGAAAGGACCUACU